Musa acuminata AAA Group (dessert banana) is the source of this 4072-nucleotide RNA transcript. It is a transcript of the gene named myosin-binding protein 1-like, with no coding region annotated. Lineage: Eukaryota; Viridiplantae; Streptophyta; Magnoliopsida; Zingiberales; Musaceae. The record is from RefSeq and is a predicted model, not a curated record. The transcript has 7 exons.
GCUCCUGGGAAUAGUGUCAAUAAUGGAGACGAGGGACUCGUGGGAGGUGGAAAGCCCUCACCUUUCGGUUUGCUUUUGUCUUUCUCUUGCCUUCAUAAACCCAAUUCCAUCCAUCGCCUCCUCUUCUCUUCGGAUCAAGUGACAAUUUCUAGCUUGGAGAUACCAUUUCAGUAGCUCGGAAGAUCAACUUCUCUGAGAAUUUGAUGUGAGCCCCACUAAUCAUGGCUCCGAGGGCACCUGUUGGUGGAUUCCAACGACUCUCAUCUGCUUUGUCUUCAGCUGCUCUUGAAUGGAUGUUGAUGCUUCUGUUAUUCUUUGAUGCCUUGUUUGCCUACCUGGUGACAAGGUUCUCUCGUCUUUGCAUGCUACAAAAACCUUGUAUGUUUUGCUCAAGGCUAGAUCAUGUUUUUGGAAAUGAGAAACGAGGCUUCUAUCUGGAUUUGAUCUGUGAAACUCACAGAUCAGAGAUCUCAUUGUUGGGUUGCUCUAAUGGUCAUGAAAAGCUUGCUGAUGUUCAUACCGUGUGCCAGGGCUGUUUUCGUUCAUUUGAUACCGAAGGGACAUCCAACUCUGAGACUUACAAAUCAUUGGUUGGUGAGUUAAAAGGGCAUCUUGAGGACGGUGAAGAUGUUCAGGACAUUGAUGGCCUCCAUCUGUUUCAUGGGGAUGAAUUGGCAAAUGUCCCUUUUUUAAAGAAGGAUGAUGAACUACAUGCCAUCAAGUCGCUUGAAGAUAAAUCCAUAAGAGUUGAUGUUUCUGAAGUUGACAUUUCUUUGUCAAGUUCAAAUGGGCACAGUUAUCUACAGAAUAAAGAUGGAGCGAGAAAGACGAGAGAGAAAACCUUGGUUUCCCCAGCAUAUCAGUAUUCAAAGAAUCAAGAACAUGAUCACUUCUCUCAUGUUGGAUACAGUGAAGUUAAAAUUACUUCGGACUCUGAUUCUGACUUAGAGAUCCAAUUCACAGAUGAUGAUGAAGGAAAUUCUCCAUCUCAUCGAGCUGAAACUGUCAUGUAUGAUUUGGUGUCUCAUGUUGAAGAAUCAGAGGGUGUCACUCUAAUAAAAAAUGAUUUAUCUGGAAGUGUUUCAGGUGAAAGAGCCACAGAAAAGUUGAUUCGUGCGGAUCAAAUUAGUGUUUCAGAUGCUAAACCCCUUGAAAAGUUGACCGACCCUGCUCCAGUAAUUAGUGACCCUUUUGAGUCAAUUCCUGAAAAGCAAAGAAUUGCAGGUGAGCUCCAUGAUAUAUCAACUGUUUCUUUAUCUGGUGCUACUACGCAAUGUUUGGAUGAUAGUAACCAGGAACACAUUGAUGUCAAUGCUAUUCUCCCACAAUCUGAAUAUGUGCCACAAGGUCCCCAAGAACUUCUUGUAGAAGAUUCACAUGUGAAGGAUAAUUUGAAGUUUAGUGAUGCUGCUUAUGGUCAAACUACUACUAUUGAUGAUGCAAAGGAUUGCUGUACAACUGACAUCACUUUGAGGACAAGUCAUGAUGCAAAUUUUAGUGUUUCUGAUGAUAAAGCCCUAGAAAAGUUGAUGCACUCUGAUCCAGUUAUCACUGAGCCUUCGGAGUCAAUUUCUGAGAAUCAAACAAACGUAGGUGAGCUCCAAGAUGCAUCAACCUUUUCAUCUUCUGGAGCUGCUGGACAUUUUUUGGAGGAUAGCAAUUGUAACCAGAUCGAAGUCAAAGCUAUUCCCCCCCAAUCUGAAUUUGUGCCACAAGAUUCUCAAGAAGUUCUUCUAGAAGAUUCAAAUGUGAAAGCAUGUACUGGUACUACUUCAGUUGAUGAUGCAAAGGAUUGGUGUACAACUAACAUCGAUUUGGGGACAAGUCAUGAUGCAAGUGACCCUGGUCAAUCUAUGAGUACUCGUAUGGAUUUGAAUGAUGCUUAUAAGAUUGCUGUUGGUGAUAAGGGAAGCUUGUCAUCUCCUAGAUUUACUGAUGUAAUCAUUGGGAGGGAUUCUUCUAGAGUUCAGGAAGAUCUGAAACUCCUGAUUUCUCAGAUAUCUGCAGCUCAGGGGCUUGAGUCUCCAUGGAAUGAAAUGAGCCCUAGUCCCCGAGUAUAUGGACAAGGUGAUGAAUAUAUAUUGCAGAACAUAACUAAAACACUCUCUCUCGAGAGGAAUGAAUCAGGAUUAGAGUCACUAGAUGGAAGCAUUGUAAGUGAGGUGGAAGGAGAAAGUCCAAUUGAGAGGCUGAAGCGGCAGGUUGAGUUGGACAGGAAAUCCAUAAGUCUUCUCUUCAAGGAGUUAGAAGAAGAAAAAAGUUCUUCUGCAAUUGCAGCAAAUCAAGCAAUGGCCAUGAUUACUAGGUUGCAAGAGGAGAAGGCUGCAAUGCAUAUGGAAGCCCUGCAGUACCAAAGAAUGAUGGAAGAGCAAGCAGAGUAUGACCAUGAAGCACUUCAAAAAUGUAACAAAUUGCUUACUCAAAGGGAGGAAAUGAUACAAGGCUUGGAAACUGAGGUGGAAAGCCUUAGAAUAUGCUUUGUAGAAGGAUUAUCCACUGACAAUUCAGUGGAGCAGAGUGAUAACUUCCAUGAUAAGGAGAUUGCAUCUUGGAACAAAUCCGGGGAACCUCAUGUAACAUGUCAAAAUUCAAGAUGGAGUGAAUUUGGGGAUUUGAAGGAUCCCUUAUCUUGCUUUGAAGAUGAGGAGGCAUAUAUAUUAAACUGUUUGACAAAGUUGGAGAAAAAGCUUCAUCUUUUUUCCAAUAAUGGUGUUUAUGAUGAUAGUUCAAGUUUUAAUUUGAAUGCUGAUGAUGAAAAUGGACUUCCUGAUAAAACAAGUGGGGAUGUUGACGGAGAAUUUUUUGUAGAAAGGAAUGUUGUGUCAGAAGGUGGUGCGGGCACAAAUGGUCAAAUCUUUGACGAAGUUCAAGUUUCAAGUCAAGAGAAAAUUUAUCAGAAAGAUGGUCCUCCAGAAAAUAUUCAGGUAGGAGAGAACAUUAUAAUGGAAGAAAAAAUUUCUGGAAAAAGUUCAAGUUCCUCUAAAGGAAACCGUGGAGGCAGUUAUGACAUUGACAAGCAAAAAUUAUUGAAAGUAGGGAACAAGAAUGAGUUAGUUGCUCUUGAGAAUGAAGUGUCACGUCUGAGUCAGAGGUUGGAGGCACUUGAGGCAGAUCGUAAUUUCCUGGAACAUGCCAUUAACUCACUCAGAAGUGGCAACAAUGGUGUUCAGAUUAUUCAAGAGAUAGCUUGUGAUCUGCGGGAAUUACGGAGAAUUGCAAUCACCCGAUGAGAGCGUCUUAUAACUUGAACUUUUAUCUUAUCCAAAAGGUUGGUGCAUGUAGCGGGCAAUACACUAGUUGUAUUGGGUAAAUGUAGAAUCGAGGGCGAGCUUACUGCCUGGUUCAGACCCCGUAAAAGAAAAGCUCCAGAUAAUAAGCUCAGUUUCUGCAGGGCUUGGAUCCACGCACAAAGUCUGAGUAUUAUUUUCUAUAUUCAGAAAUACAUUAGGUGUGCUGCCACUGAAAAGCUUAUAGUCUUCGAACUGGCAGAGCUGAACUCUCUUCUCACCGGACUUGUCAUCUCUAUCCACCAAUGGCUGCCAUCGAGGAAGGAAUUCACCGGUGGACUCUCCAACUAUGUGGAGCAAAACACUCAGCCAUAGCCAACACCGAAUCAACAUCCACGACCGCCUCGUUGCUUCCUCCCGUCACCUUCGACUCUUCAAACAGCAGUUACGGGUCAAAAUCUUGGCCACCGGUGGAGAAGACCAUGGGCGGUGGCCUCAUUUAUAUGCUGCUUCCAUUGCGGUAAGGCAUGUAUCCUCUUUGGAGAUGGGAUCUCGUGGCGUGAAGAUGGCGAGGGCGGUGGCGUUCGUCCUCGUGUUGGUGCUCAUCACCUCGGCGUUGUCGGCGGAGGCGCGGGCUUUGGUGCUGCAGUCGCUUCCGAAGGGAUCCGAGUCGCCGUCGCAGGCUUCGGGCUGCACCUACGUGUCCGGCAACGCCGGCGGCGACUGCACCAUCGGCCGCUGAUCACUCUUGCAUGGUCUUCUACACAUUAUUUCGUUCAUCGCUUCGUUCUGUGCCAAUUACUGUACAUGUUGUCCAAGGGGAAAGAAGGCAUUAUUCAUCCCAA